GAAUCCGCCAAGGAGUGUGUAACAACUCACCUGCCGAAUGAAUUAGCCCUGAAAAUGGAUGGCGCUUAAGCGGGUGGCCGACACCAUGCCGUCUGGACAAGUUUCAGUUUCAGAUGAGUAGGAGGGCGUGGGGGCCGUGUCGAAGCAUGCGUGCAAACGCGUGUGGAACGGCCUCUAGUGCAGAUCUUGGUGGUAGUAGCAAGUAUUCAAGCGAGAUCCUUGAAGGGCGAAGCGGGGAAGGGUUCCACGCGAACAUUGAUUGGGCGUGGGUGAGUCGUUCCUAAGCCGAGUGGCGAUUGCUAAGUAGCGGCGAAAGGGAAGCGGGUUGAAAUUCCCGCACACGGAUGUGGAAGCGGUGACGCGAUUGAUGGGGCGAAAACGCUGGCGACGGCGCUGGGCAGAGUUGUCUUUUCUGUUUGACCAGGUUUGCGCGCGCGGUGUGGAAUCCGCUUGUCGGGAGAAACACGCGCGUGCGGGCAGAGCGCCGGGGCUUUUCCGGCGUCCAGCUCGCCGUCGACGGCCCUUGAAAAUUUGCCUGCUGAAUUUUUAAAAAUCCACGCCGUGGCGUACCGAUCACCGCAUCAGGUCCCCAAGGUGAACAGCCUCUGCUCAGUAUGAAUAAUGCAGGUAAGGGAAGUCGGCA
RNAcentral lists this ribosomal RNA (643 nucleotides) under Caulacanthus ustulatus. Its description in RNAcentral is "eukaryotic LSU rRNA". It matches the Rfam family "Eukaryotic large subunit ribosomal RNA", at positions 1264 to 1919 of the family's 3401-position model. Lineage: Eukaryota; Rhodophyta; Florideophyceae; Gigartinales; Caulacanthaceae. The record is from RNAcentral.